This 448-nucleotide ribosomal RNA is filed under the name uncultured Allobrachymonas sp. RNAcentral's name for it is "bacterial SSU rRNA". It matches the Rfam family "Bacterial small subunit ribosomal RNA", at positions 927 to 1382 of the family's 1533-position model. The record is from RNAcentral. Lineage: Bacteria; Pseudomonadati; Pseudomonadota; Betaproteobacteria; Burkholderiales; Comamonadaceae.
AAGCGGUGGAUGAUGUGGUUUAAUUCGAUGCAACGCGAAAACCUUACCCACCUUUGACAUGGCAGGAAUCCCGAAGAGAUUGGAGUGCUCGAAAGAGAACCUGCACACAGGUGCUGCAUGGCUGUCGUCAGCUCGUGUCGUGAGAUGUUGGGUUAAGUCCCGCAACGAGCGCAACCCUUGCCAUUAGUUGCUACGAAAGGGCACUCUAAUGGGACUGCCGGUGACAAACCGGAGGAAGGUGGGGAUGACGUCAAGUCCUCAUGGCCCUUAUAGGUGGGGCUACACACGUCAUACAAUGGCCGGUACAGAGGGUAGCCAACCCGCGAGGGGGAGCCAAUCCCACAAAGCCGGUCGUAGUCCGGAUCGCAGUCUGCAACUCGACUGCGUGAAGUCGGAAUCGCUAGUAAUCGCGGAUCAGCAUGUCGCGGUGAAUACGUUCCCGGGCCUU